Dipodomys ordii (Ord's kangaroo rat) is the source of this 72-nucleotide non-coding RNA. The record is from Rfam. NCBI's taxonomy places the organism in Eukaryota, Metazoa, Chordata, Mammalia, Rodentia, Heteromyidae.
GGGAAGGUGGCUCAGUGGUAGAGCGCUUGUCUUGCAUGCAUGAAGCCAUGGGUUCGAUUCCUCAGCAUCACA